UACGGAGGGUGCAAGCGUUAUCCGGAUUCACUGGGUUUAAAGGGUGCGUAGGCGGGCAGGUAAGUCAGUGGUGAAAUCCUAGAGCUUAACUCUAGAACUGCCAUUGAUACUAUCUGUCUUGAAUAUUGUGGAGGUAAGCGGAAUAUGUCAUGUAGCGGUGAAAUGCUUAGAUAUGACAUAGAACACCUAUUGCGAAGGCAGCUUACUACGCAUAUAUUGACGCUGGAGGCAACGAAAAGCGUGGGGAUCAAACAGG
RNAcentral lists this ribosomal RNA (256 nucleotides) under uncultured bacterium. RNAcentral describes it as "partial 16S ribosomal RNA". It matches the Rfam family "Bacterial small subunit ribosomal RNA", at positions 524 to 776 of the family's 1533-position model. The record is from RNAcentral.